RNAcentral lists this long non-coding RNA (6927 nucleotides) under Nicotiana tabacum (common tobacco). Its description in RNAcentral is "long non-coding RNA (NTAB_LNC011496)". Lineage: Eukaryota; Viridiplantae; Streptophyta; Magnoliopsida; Solanales; Solanaceae. The record is from RNAcentral.
CGGCCCUCUCAUUUCACACGUCUUGACGUCACUUCCCCCUUUCUUAUCAGGAAAAUUAAGAAGAAAAACGUCACUUCCGUCUCUUCUGGUGCCAAUCUAAUUAAUUGUUAUCUCUAUCAUCGUCUUAUCCGCCGACAUCUCGAUCCAAGAGAAUUCCGCUCAUCACAAUCUUGUUAAUUGUUAUCUCCGUCAUCAUCUAAUACGCCGACAUCUCGAUCCAAGAGAAUUCCGUUCAUCACAAUAUUUUGAUGUGAUUUCUGCCUGCGGACAGAUGGAAAAUCAACGUAAUCCUAACUGCGACAGAUCGACACAGCUAACGGUGUCGGAAGAAGGAGAGUUCGUCGGCAAUUCGUCACCUUGUCAAGUAUGUGUUCUUCUAUUGAUUUAGAUGGAUCUUUGAUAGCAAACAAUUUUAUGCUUUAUUCUUUCAAAUGAGAUGGAAUUCCCAUAUUUGUGUUUAAUGUUAUCUACUCGCAGAAAUUUGAAUCAAGGCUUGUCUUUCUCUUGUAUCUAUAUUCUAUAAGCAAAUCUCAAGUCAAUAUAUGUAAUUGAUGCAAAAAAAAAAAAGUGGUCUGUGGAACUUCCAUUUGUAACGGAGGUACAAACAGUUACACAAUGAACUUUACCUUGUGGUAAUGACAAUAGUAAUGAUGCAAGCCAUGAAGUACCAUGCAUUGAAAAACUUUAGGAGAUGGGCAGAUUUUGGAAGAUUGGUCUUUUAAGUGUUUGUUCUCUAAUUUCAGAUGUUAAGCUUUACUUAGAAGUCACACUCUAAAUAAGCAUAUAGAGAAGAGAAGAUUUUACACUGAGUUUCACUAAGCUUAAAUUUUUCGUGAAUUUUAGGCUUGUAACAUUAGGUAAUGGACUUUAUAUUGGUUGGGUUGUGAAACUUUUUAAAAGUAAAGAUGAGGCUAAGUUUAGAAGGGGAGUCCGGUUUGGAUUCUAUGGGUUCGAAAUUCUAGGGGUUUUAAGCUAGUGGAUUCUAAAUUAAUAAUUUGUAUAUUAAAUAGAUUUCUUAAGACAAAUACAAGAUUUGGACCAAACUGACUUGGUUUGGUGGAACUCGUACGGUCAAUGCUAGCUAGUUCUUUCUUGGAUUGUUUAGACUCCCACGGGUUUAUAUUUUCCUUCUUGGAUUAUAGACACCCUUGGGAUGCAGUCCUUCCUCGAACCCUAAGUAAACGCGGGAUGCUUUGUGCACCGGGCUACCCUUAUUGUUCCGGGAGUGAUUCCUUCACCAUUCCUUUUUCCUCCUUUCUUUUAUCUUCUUCAUUGUUGAUUCUCGUCACUGUUUUUCCAUCCAUAAAUCAGCUCACACAAUUUAGUCUUUUCCAAGCUCUCUUUUUGCCUAGGCCUUUCUAGUAAGAUACAAGCCAAGAUGCAAAAUUUUAUUCCAGCAACAACAUAAACGAGAAUGACAAUUGCAGCUCUAGUAGUAGUAGUAACAGUGAUAACGAUAAGUACAAAUAUUUUAAACUAAAUAUAAUUCCAUAUGAAGUAAAUAAAGGAACCAAAGCUAAUAAAGGAGGUAUUGCAAGAAGGAAUUUAACUAGGUGCAUAUGAAUAGUUAUACCCAAUUAAAUCUUUAAUUUAUUGUCCUAAAGAGGAGAAGCAUCUUCAUGUGCUAUAAAGAUUGGAAAAAUUGUAGAUCCUCCUAUAUUCACUCACCAUUAAAACGGGUGAUUAAGGUUUGUUGCCUUUAGGGAAGCCAACGAUGUGGUGUUUUUCUUUUCUAUCUAUCAGUUUCUUAGUAGGUCUUUGACCUAGUUUCACUCCACACUAACAUGCAAGGGAAGAGAAUAAUCUGAAAGUGAUAUGUUUAGUUUUUAGACAAGAAUUGUUUCUCUUUAUACGAUCUACAAGAACCAGACCCCGUUUGGUGGGAUUUCACCGGGUUUGUUGUUGUCAUGCGGACUGCAAGAAAUGAUGGGAAAAUUCCAAAUUGACUCGGCAGGCAUUUGACGACAAGACUUGAUAGGAUACCUCUACAAACCAUUCAAGCUAAAUGUCGAUAAUUGUCAUAAAAAUGGAAAAUCUGUUUAGAAAUACAUAGAUGAGGAUUGUAUGUAUGUCCUUUUGUUGGAACUAAGAACCCUAAGUACACAAGAAUGAAAUAAUUGGAAAAUCAUGUUAAGAGUGCCUUGCAGUUGCAUUGCUUUCCCUCCCCCCGCACACCCCGAAACAGAAGAGAAGAAUAAUAUGCAAAAAAAUUCCAUAGCUGAAAUACACCUUUUCCCACAUUAAACGCACCAUGUUGAAUUUGGGGAAAAACACAUUAAUUAUGCUGAAAAUAUUCUUGCCUUUGUUUUCCAGGCAUGCAAAGUAAUUGACAAACAAGCAUGGUAUUACAAUACUUACCAUUUCUUUUAUUCUUAAAACCUAGUGCAAUUAAUUAAUUCAAUCAAAGAAACUGAAUCUCAAAACUUUCUCAUAAUCUCCUGUGACGCGCAACUACGAUGCAGAAGGAAAGAAUCCAUGGUGGAUAUUCUUCUUAUAGUGAAAUAUUCACCAUAGGGAAAAUAAAGUUGCCUUAUUUUCUCCUUUAUUGUAGUUAUUUACAGCUAGUUGUUUUUCGUCUUAGGAAAUUCUUUUGAAGUUGAAUUUGGUAAUUGAUAGCAUGCAGUAGCCCACACAUAUCCAUUGGUGAGACAACCUUAUGUAAAAGCAAUAGAUGGAUAUGUUAUUUCUCAGUUUCAUUUCUCAUCAUGGUGAUCCUUCCUCUUGUUGUACCAGGUGUCUUAUUCCCCAUUUUCUUGGCUGCUGGAGGUGCUUGAUUGAAACACGCACUUCCUGUUGCAGGUAAAGCUUCUCUGCAGUGUGAUUCUUAACUAUCUGCUGAUGACUCCAAACGAUUGGCAUUACUUUUUAUUUCUGAUUUUUUUAUCAUUACACCAUACACUUUUUUAGAAGUGUGCAUGAGCGUUUCCAUUUAUAAAUUAUAGAAUUCAGAACUUUGAUAUUGUUAGACCAUCGUAGAGAACAUAUCAUAGCAAUUACCAGUUUCAGAUUCAUUUAAGUCAGAUUGGUAGGAGAAAUGAGUUUCUCCGACAAGAAUGAUUUUUAUUCAUUAGAAGGUUGAUAAUCUAUUUUUGAUAUAUAUAUACACACACAUAUACAUACCUUCACCGAAAUGAGGAAUCAAGAUGAUUGAUAGACCCAUGUGCUAUGAUCCUCAAACACCGAGCCAUUGGCUUCUCUAAACCAAUGUACUAUCAAGUGCCAAAGUCUGACUGAAGGGUAACCCACCAUUGAAAUGCAACACCUUGAGAGAACAAUAGUUUCAACAGUUACGAGGCAGUAUGUCUAUUGAUGAGUAUUUUGUCUCAAAACUUACUUGAUUUGGACUUGAGAAAAGGGUUUGGUCAACGAAAGCCAUUAUUUUGGUCAUAUAAAGUGUACCGUGAUGAGUCAAGAUCUUGAGUCGGGAUUGAUGUUCGAGGUAUUCAAUGUCAGUAUGGGGAUUCAUGAAUGAAGUCUGAGUUCAUCAAGAAUUUUAUAGCUAUGAUUUGAGGAUAAAUUUGUAUGGUCAAUGAAAUUGCGUGAAAUUCACAUGCGCAUACACUCGAGAAGACCCCUAUCAUUCGGUACAAGUUGAAUCGACAAGUUCUAGUCUUCGAUAGUCAUCGAUUUGAACUGAAUCCUAAUCAUUCUCUUCGUGAAAUAAGCAACAAAUCAUUCUUUCUCAGAUUUUUAAGGGUGUAGAGAGAUCCUACUCCAAGAAUUACCAUGCCAUUGAAGGCAAAGAUGAAUCUCGAAGUUCCUUGUCCAUGCAUAGGUUAGUUAUUCUCCAUGUGUACUGAAAAAUUAUUCUUAAUAGAGCUUUUGAAAAAUCAUUUUGCUUAUUUAUAAAAGUUGUCCCUCACAGAAAUAGCAAAGGGGUUCCUACUUUAAACAAACUACCACUGACAAAAACAUAUCUUACAAAUAGCAAACAAAAUCUAAUAUAUAGAUUAUCAAAAGCUGGUCUAUUGCUCAAAAAACUAUCGUCUGAAGUUAGUCUAACCGGCUACCGAAGUUCUUGCAAAUUGUUUGACCCUUUGAGUAUGUCUUAUACUCAUUUAUCUUAUGUUAUUUUCUUUCUAUUUGUGGACUAAAUUCAGGUUAUUUGCAUAGAAAGAUAUGAAGUUAGCAUAAUAACAUGCAUAAUUUCUUGAGCUUUACAAGACUGUGGAAAGGAACAUGGAAAAAUAAUAUUACUGAUAUCUUUUUACAAUAUAAUACAAGAAGUCCUAUUUAUAGCUACACUCUACGUAGUACAUACUACUGCAAUUCCAAUAUGGGACUAUACACACUUAUAUACAUAAUUAUCUAACAUUCUCCGUCAAGCCGGUGCAUAUAAAUCAUAUGUAUUCAGCUUGUUAAAAAUAUAACUAUACGAGGACCAGUAAAGGAACUGGUGAAAAUAUCUGCAAGCUGAUAAUUCGACUUCAUAAAUUUUUUAAUAAUAUCUCUUGAGAGUAUCUAUUCUCUGACGAAGUGACAGUCAAUCUCAAUAUGUUUAGUCCUCUCAUGGAGCACUGGAUUUAACGGAAUAUGAAUAGAAGCUUGAUUAUCACACUUCAAUUCUAUCUCAUUGAUUUCUCCAAAUUUUAAUUCCUUGAGUAGUUGUUUGAUCUAAACUAGCUCACAUGUUGCCAUACCCAUUACUCGAUAUUCUACUUUUCCACUAGAUCGAGCAGGUGCAUUUUGCUUCUUGCUCUUCCAAGACACCAAGUUACCUCCUACUAAAAGACAAUAUCCCAAAGUAGAACGUCUAUCAGAAGGUGAUUCUGCCUAAUUAGCGUCUAUGUAUCCAACGAUCUGCUCAUGGCCUCAAUCCUCGAACAACAGUUAUUUGCCUAGGGCUGAUUUUAUAUACUGAAGAAUUCAGCACACUCACAAAGAAGGAAAUAUAAGGUCUAAUCAUUGUGAGGUAAUUCAACUUACCAACCAGCUGCCUAGAUGUUGCAGGAUCACUAAGAGGCUCCCCUUGUCCUGGCAGAAGUUUGGUAUUUGGAUCUAUAGGAGGGUCAAUGGGUCUACAACACGUCAUUCAUGUCUCUCAAGAAUAUAUAAGGCAUACUUUCGUGCUCAGAGUUGGUUGAAUUUAAAGGUAAUUUUAAGAAGCAUACAAGACUUAAUAAAGAGUUAAAUAAGUGGUGAUAAAUAUGCAUUUCCUUGCAGUAAUGGUGAGCUAUCAUAGGGCUAAGUUGGUAGAACUUUGGCUACUCUAUCGAAAGAUCAGAGUGUAUUGUGAUCGUGUAGUCUACUAAAAAGACGAAAAAUGAAGGUAUGUUUGUGUCCCAUUUUAACUUAUCAAGGAAGGUCUGUUUGCAUUUCAUUAUAACUUGAAAAUGAAGGUAUGUUGCCGGAAGGAAAAUUGAUGCACGGGAACUUCUGGCUGUAUUCUGGUUCCUGAAUGUGUUUGACCACCACUGCUCUUCACGGAAAAAUAAUAUUAUUGAUGUUAUUUCACAAUAUAAUACAAGAAGUCCUAUUUAUAGAUAUACUCUAUGUAGCAUAUAUUAAUUCGUAUUUCAGUGUGGGACUAGACACACUUAUAUACACAAGGAUGAUGCUUGUAAGCUCUAAUUUAAAAACAUACAAGAGCUAAUAAAGGUAAUAUUUUGUCUUGUUUAGAAGUGUACAAGAGCUAAUAAAGGUAAUAUUCUAUCUGAUUUAAAAACAUUCAAGAGCUAAUAAAAUUAAGAUUUAGAAACAUACAAGAACAACUGAGUUAAAAUUUUAGAAACAUCAUCCAUAUCAAACCAAAAGACGGAAGAGAUAAUAUCAUAUUGGAUCAAUCAUAUACAUAUAGAAACUUUUGUAAUAACAUAUAUGUAGAAACUUAUUUAACCAUAAUAGCAUGAAAUAUUUCUUUUGCUAGUCACUCACAUUUUUGUUUGCAGCUUCGGACAUCCUUGGUACCUAAUCUUUAAUGUUCAUGUUGCCUGGUUCGACAAGUAUCAAGGUCAUACAAUUCCAGACACGAGUUCUAAGCAUCGUGCUCAGAGUUGGUUGAAUUUAAAGGUAAUUUUAAGAAGCAUACAAGACUUAAUAAAGAGUUAAAUAAGUGGUGAUAAAUAUGCAUUUCCUUGCAGUAAUGGUGAGCUAUCAUAGGGCUAAGUUGGUAGAACUUUGGCUACUCUAUCGAAAGAUCAGAGUGUAUUGUGGUCGUGUAGUCUACUAAAAAGACGAAAAAUGAAGGUAUGUUUGUGUCCCAUUUUAACUUAUCAAGGAAGGUCUGUUUGCAUUUCAUUAUAACUUGAAAAUGAAGGUGUGUGUCAUUUUAACUAACUAAGGUAGGAAUGCGUGUGUCUCAUCUUAACAUUUUGGGAGUAAGGCCACAACUCACUGCACAUUCCAAUAAAAUGUUCAAAAUAAUGAGCAGAGCAUGACCUGAUUGAGAAGGUGUCUUAUCAGAUCUGAAAUGUCAUGAAGUUAUAUUCAUUUGUUGCAAAAUAUCUAAUUACACCCAGGGGCGGCUCAAGCACACACGGGGCCUAAAGCCAAAGUUAAAUUUAAUAUGAGGCCUACACUUUUAAAAGAAAGUUAUAAGAUAUGUUUUUAUUUGAAGUCUAUUCUUUUAACUUUUUGAGAUAUAAAGUUGUUAAUAGUCUUUUUAUAAUCGAUUUUCUCUAAUAAUUCUUGCUCGAUUGAUAAUAUAGCCAACCUAUCUAAUCUUUCUUGAGAUAUUAUUGAUCUUAGAUAAGAUUUUACAAAGCAAUAGAAGUAUGGAACUACUGGAAGCUUAAAGUUAUUGUUGAACACCUGAACUAGUGAAAUCAUGGAAAAAGAACGUGAGUAAUGAAAUCUUGGAGAAAGAAGUGAGUAAGAAUAUUAAAGAGAAACACACAAAAUAUGUAGGGUUUUUCUGAAUUGGAAAAAAAGAAAAAGAACUAUUGACUUGGACAAAUUAAGGAAGAGAGAGCAAAUUUUUUAAUGGUG